GGAACCCAUACCCAGCAUCCAAAGCGAGGAGGUUAUGGAGGAAACAAUUGGAGGCCUCUGGAAAAAACACACUCAGAACCUGGCAACAAGCAGAAGGAACAAGGCCCUGGGUCACAGGAGGCGACUCAAGUGGGUAAGACACAGAACAAGAGCUGCCACCCCAUGAACGGCACGUGCUGACCGAUGAGCAGUCGCAGGCGGCUGCAGGCCCUACUUCUUCUUGCCACCUCGCUAGUACUGGCCCCCACUGCAGCCCAGUCCCAGCUACAGGAGGCCUAGGGUAGGGGGACAAGGCAUAGCAGCGAGGAAAAUAGCUGGGGAAGAAGCCCUGGAGGAGCCACAGAAGAAAAGAUGGGUUCAGCUCAGCCUGCCCAGUCAGGCAUCUAACAUGGUUUCCACAGAGGACGCUGGCUACGCCACCAUUAAUCCCCUCACUCCCCUGUUCUCAUCCCCUCCAGGAGGACACAGCAGGUAACUCCCUGCUUGUGGCCUGGGAGAACAGUCAAAGAUGGCCCAAACCCUUGGGACCCUGCAUCCCAGUGGGAUAC
Molecule: long non-coding RNA, 548 nt
Organism: Ochotona princeps (American pika)
Lineage: Eukaryota; Metazoa; Chordata; Mammalia; Lagomorpha; Ochotonidae
Exons: 5
Source: RefSeq, a predicted model, not a curated record